Molecule: transfer RNA, 70 nt
Filed under: Lachnospiraceae bacterium
Lineage: Bacteria; Bacillati; Bacillota; Clostridia; Lachnospirales; Lachnospiraceae
Also listed under: 1 other name
Description: tRNA-Met
Rfam family: tRNA
About the family: Transfer RNA (tRNA) molecules are approximately 80 nucleotides in length. Their secondary structure includes four short double-helical elements and three loops (D, anti-codon, and T loops).
Source: RNAcentral
GAUGCUGUAGCCGCUGGAAUGGCAUAGGUUUCAUAGACCGAAGUUGUCGGUUCGAGUCCGAUCAGCAUCU